AGAGUUUGAUCCUGGCUCAGGACGAACGCUGGCGGCGUGCCUAAUACAUGCAAGUAGAACGCUGAAGAGAGGAGCUUGCUCUUCUUGGAUGAGUUGCGAACGGGUGAGUAACGCGUAGGUAACCUGCCUUGUAGCGGGGGAUAACUAUUGGAAACGAUAGCUAAUACCGCAUAACAAUGGAUGACACAUGUCAUUUAUUUGAAAGGGGCAAUUGCUCCACUACAAGAUGGACCUGCGUUGUAUUAGCUAGUAGGUGAGGUAAUGGCUCACCUAGGCGACGAUACAUAGCCGACCUGAGAGGGUGAUCGGCCACACUGGGACUGAGACACGGCCCAGACUCCUACGGGAGGCAGCAGUAGGGAAUCUUCGGCAAUGGGGGCAACCCUGACCGAGCAACGCCGCGUGAGUGAAGAAGGUUUUCGGAUCGUAAAGCUCUGUUGUAAGUCAAGAACGGGUGUGAGAGUGGAAAGUUCACACUGUGACGGUAGCUUACCAGAAAGGGACGGCUAACUACGUGCCAGCAGCCGCGGUAAUACGUAGGUCCCGAGCGUUGUCCGAAUUUAUUGGGCGUAAAGCGAGCGCAGGCGGUUUGAUAAGUCUGAAGUUAAAGGCUGUGGCUCAACCAUAGUUCGCUUUGGAAACUGUCAAACUUGAGUGCAGAAGGGGAGAGUGGAAUUCCAUGUGUAGCGGUGAAAUGCGUAGAUAUAUGGAGGAACACCGGUGGCGAAAGCGGCUCUCUGGUCUGUAACUGACGCUGAGGCUCGAAAGCGUGGGGAGCGAACAGGAUUAGAUACCCUGGUAGUCCACGCCGUAAACGAUGAGUGCUAGGUGUUGGAUCCUUUCCGGGAUUCAGUGCCGCAGCUAACGCAUUAAGCACUCCGCCUGGGGAGUACGACCGCAAGGUUGAAACUCAAAGGAAUUGACGGGGGCCCGCACAAGCGGUGGAGCAUGUGGUUUAAUUCGAAGCAACGCGAAGAACCUUACCAGGUCUUGACAUCCCGAUGCUAUUUCUAGAGAUAGAAAGUUACUUCGGUACAUCGGUGACAGGUGGUGCUUGGUUGUCGUCAGCUCGUGUCGUGAGAUGUUGGGUUAAGUCCCGCAACGAGCGCAACCCCUAUUGUUAGUUGCCAUCAUUCAGUCGGGCACUCUAGCGAGACUGCCGGUAAUAAACCGGAGGAAGGUGGGGAUGACGUCAAAUCAUCAUGCCCCUUAUGACCUGGGCUACACACGUGCUACAAUGGUUGGUACAACGAGUUGCGAGUCGGUGACGGCGAGCUAAUCUCUUAAAGCCAAUCUCAGUUCGGAUUGUAGGCUGCAACUCGCCUACAUGAAGUCGGAAUCGCUAGUAAUCGCGGAUCAGCACGCCGCGGUGAAUACGUUCCCGGGCCUUGUACACACCGCCCGUCACACCACGAGAGUUUGUAACACCCGAAGUCGGUGAGGUAACCUUUUGGAGCCAGCCGCCUAAGGUGGGACAGAUGAUUGGGGUGAAGUCGUAACAAGGUA
RNAcentral lists this ribosomal RNA (1506 nucleotides) under metagenome. RNAcentral describes it as "bacterial SSU rRNA". It matches the Rfam family "Bacterial small subunit ribosomal RNA". The record is from RNAcentral.